RNAcentral lists this ribosomal RNA (555 nucleotides) under Fusarium lateritium. RNAcentral describes it as "eukaryotic LSU rRNA". The stretch from base 184 to 337 matches the Rfam family "5.8S ribosomal RNA". The record is from RNAcentral. Lineage: Eukaryota; Fungi; Ascomycota; Sordariomycetes; Hypocreales; Nectriaceae.
UCCGUAGGUGAACCUGCGGAGGGAUCAUUACCGAGUUUACAACUCCYAAACCCCUGGUGAACAUACCAAUUAGGUUAGCCUCGGCGGAUCAGCCCGCUCCCGGUAAAACGGGACGGCCCGCCAGAGGACCCCUAAACUCUAGUUUCUAUAUGUAACUUCUGAGUAAAACCAUAAAUAAAUCAAAACUUUCAACAACGGAUCUCUUGGUUCUGGCAUCGAUGAAGAACGCAGCAAAAUGCGAUAAGUAAUGUGAAUUGCAGAAUUCAGUGAAUCAUCGAAUCUUUGAACGCACAUUGCGCCCGCCAGUAUUCUGGCGGGCAUGCCUGUUCGAGCGUCAUUUCAACCCUCAAGCCCAGCUUGGUGUUGGGACUCGCGAGUCAAAUCGCGUUCCCCAAAUUGAUUGGCGGUCACGUCGAGCUUCCAUAGCGUAGUAGUAAAACCCUCGUUACUGGUAAUCGUCGCGGCCACGCCGUUAAACCCCAACUUCUGAAUGUUGACCUCGGAUCCAGGUAGGAAUACCCGCUGAACUUAAGCAUAUCAAUAAGCGGAGGAGGA